This 310-nucleotide ribosomal RNA is filed under the name uncultured bacterium. RNAcentral's name for it is "bacterial SSU rRNA". It matches the Rfam family "Bacterial small subunit ribosomal RNA", at positions 197 to 507 of the family's 1533-position model. The record is from RNAcentral.
GAUAAUUAAACUCCGGUGGUAUAAGAUGAGUGUGCGUCUGAUUAGCUAGUUGGUGGGGUAACGGCUCACCAAGGCAACGAUCAAUAGCUGGUCUGAGAGGAUGAUCAGCCACACGGGCACUGAGACACGGGCCCGACUCCUACGGGAGGCAGCAGUAGGGAAUAUUGGACAAUGGGCGCAAGCCUGAUCCAGCCAUCCCGCGUGAAGGAUUAAGGCCCUCUGGGUUGUAAACUUCUUUUCUUUGGGAAUAAAAACUCCGUUUCUACGGAGCUUGAAGGUACCAGAGGAAUAAGCACCGGCUAACUCCGUG